CGCAGCCGCGGUAAUUCCAGCUCCAAUAGCGUAUAUUAAAGUUGUUGCAGUUAAAAAGCUCGUAGUUGAAUUUCGGGAUCAAUAUGUCGGUCGUGCUUCGGUACGUACUGGCGUUAUUGGUUUCUCCCUUCUGAAGAACCGCGAUGUCAUUAAUUUGGUGUCGUGGGGAAUCAGGACUGUUACUUUGAAAAAAUUAGAGUGUUUAAAGCAGGCUCGCGCUUGAAUACAUUAGCAUGGAAUAAUGAAAUAGGACGUUUGAUUCUAUUUUGUUGGUUUCUAGGAUCGACGUAAUGAUUAAUAGGGAUAGUUGGGGGCAUUAGUAUUCAAUUGUCAGAGGUGAAAUUCUUGGAUUUAUUGAAGACUAACUACUGCGAAAGCAUUUGCCAAGGAUGUUUUCAUUAAUCAAGAACGAAAGUUAGGGGAUCGAAGACGAUCAGAUACCGUCGUAGU
This 450-nucleotide ribosomal RNA is filed under the name uncultured Glomeromycotina. Its description in RNAcentral is "SSU rRNA". It matches the Rfam family "Eukaryotic small subunit ribosomal RNA", at positions 569 to 1024 of the family's 1831-position model. Lineage: Eukaryota; Fungi; Glomeromycota. The record is from RNAcentral.